Heterocephalus glaber (naked mole-rat) is the source of this 2849-nucleotide non-coding RNA. The record is from RefSeq and is a predicted model, not a curated record. NCBI's taxonomy places the organism in Eukaryota, Metazoa, Chordata, Mammalia, Rodentia, Bathyergidae.
UGGCGCUUGCGCACUGGCGGCAUCAUGGGGCGGGGGCAGGAGGAGCGACGCGAGCGAAGCGUGAGGGACACCUGCGCGGAUAGUUAGGUUGUUACCUGGGACUUCAGGCACAGAGAAGCACCUCAAACUCAACCUUGGCAGCUUCAUGAAAAUAACCAUUGAACUGGAAGAAAACGUUCUAAGUCAUUGUCAGAGAUAAGAUAUUAAGAAACCAGACUGCUGUCAAGGGUAUUCUUUUAAAGGAAUUAUCUGGGAAAAUCAUAGGAUAGGAACAAUUGAAUCAAAAUUUGGAAUCUUCAACAGCCACAGUCCUACCUAACGAUAAUUGAUGUGCACCACAAACAAUACCCUAGAAGUCUGCGGACUCCUAAAUGACCUUCUAAAUCACCAAAGAAAGAUCCAAUGGAGGGGUUGGUACAUUGGCGCUGUUGAAGACCCGUUUACUUCCAGACUUGGCACUGUAAAGAUGAACCAGUUCAGGCUCCGAGCCCAGGAUGGGAACAUGUAACAUAUCAGCCACAGCCAGAUCAUCUCUGUGGAGGAGUCCGCCCAUAAUGUAGGCCUCUGUGCCUUGGAUGAGAUUUUUUAUUCUUUUGAUUGCCUUGGGACUGUACAGCAGGUACAGGUGUUGACCAUCCAGGUGAAAAGAUGUCAACAGUGCUGGCAGCACAUUUAAAAACAAUAAAGUCUUAACCAGGAUACUACCAACCAUUAUGUGGCUUUGAGGAGUUCAGAAGAAAUGUCCAGUGGCAAAGACAUCCCAUUUUGGGAUAUAAUCUAUAAAGACUUGGUUACUUCAGAGGUCAGACCAAGAACACUGAGGGAAUCCUGAGAGAAGCUCAACCUCACCCUGUCCUGUUCUACAUGCAGAAAUCAGGAACCAAAGAUUUUCAUCAGUUGUUACUGGCAAUCAUUUCUCCGUCUUCACUUCUAUCUUCACCAUCCUUCCCAAUCCCUACUGCCACGCAACACCUAUCAGGGUCUUCUUCAGUCGAGUCUUGUGGCAGUGUAAAAGCCAAGCGAUGGCAAUUACACCCAAUGCCCACUUCUGCUGGCGGUAAGUGAGGAAGAAUUUUCUCGCUCUGAAGCAUUUCCACGUGGCUUGGAUCUUGCUGGCAGCCUCUGACUUUCCACCUUGGCCCCUGUACCUCUGUCCUGGAAGGUUUAACAACAUCUGGACGUGAAGUGGGUUCUCUAAUACCGAGAGAAGAUCGUUUCGGAUUCUAGGCAGUGGAAUGAUUAGACUGACAUCUCAAGUGAAAAUGGCAAAGAGCAAAUAUUAAGUCCAAAACGGAAAUUUUCUUUUGACUUGAGAAGCCAACUUUAAACAGCAGUUAGCUUUCAUGUACUUUUAAUUUGAAAGCUGUUAUAAGGCAGAAGAAUGAUGGAAAAAUUCUUCUCACCAGGACUCUAACCCUUUCCAGUCUAACCAGGACACCAAGAGAGAAUGCAGACUGCUUGAUUGCAGAGCUCUGAUUCUCAUCAAACUGAGACCUGCCCUCUCUCUAACCCGAGUUCCCAGCACUCGGAGUCCACCAGCAAGGCAUCCUGUGCUCAUUAAGAGCUAUAAGAUUCUGUGCACUAUUAUCUCUCUAAUAGGACUAGAAGGAUCAACAAGGCAGGAGAUCAGAAAGAAGGAAGAGCAUGAGGUUUGGGUAUCUAUUCAGGCUCCCUCCCCAUGCGAUCUCCCAGGCGGAUGCCCCACUACAUGCUGUCCACCAUGAAGAUCAGUCACCAUCAGGGCCAGUACUCUCUCCGCAGCACUUCCAUACCGCCAUAACAGAUAGCAAAAUAAGGCUUCCUUCAAACAAGGAAGAGCACCCCACCAGAUACCAGAUCUGCCAGCACCUUGAUUAUAGACUCAUAGCCUCCAGCACUGUGAGAAACUGUGAUGCCCCAUCUGUGGUAUUCUGUAAAAGCAGCCUCAACUAAGACUGACUAAGAAGGGGGAACAAGAGUCAAGAUGAGAGAACACAGAAUGGAGGCAAAAUCAGAAACUUCUUGAGCUCUAUUUCUUGCCAUUUGGGAACCCGUGAGACUCUGUUUAAAAAUUUCAAGGCAUUAUGUUUUGAUUAAUUUUGCUGUUGGAACAAAACUGUUAUGAACAUAUCUAAAUCAAUAGUAACAUGAAAUUGUAGAAACUUAUUUAUAUAUGUGUAUCGUGUUUUCUACUGUAGAACACAAUAGAAAUAUCCUGUCUUUACUCUUUACACAUUUUUAUGGUUUAGAUCUAAAAUAUCCCCCCAAAAUCUCACAUAUUUGGAAGGUGACCUGAUCAUGGGGUCAUUAUAUUCAUCAGUGGAUUAGUCCAUUGAUGUGGUCAGAGCUAAAUGUACUGUUUGGAGGUGGUUCCUAGCUGAAAGAGGUGGUUCACUGAGGGCAUAACCUGAAAGGAUAUAUUCAUGUCCCUGGCUCUCCUUUCUCUCUACUUUCUGGCUGCCAUUAUGUUAGCAUCCAGCUGACCCUUCCACCAUGCUGUUUAUGCCUUGGAGCUGGCUGACCAUGGACUGAACCCACUGAAACUGUGCGACAAACAAACCUCUCCUCCUCUAAGUUGCAGGUGACGGAUAUUUUGUCCCAGAGACAGGAAAGCUAACUAGUACAGUUUUAUAUAAAUAUGAUCUAUUUGCAAUAAAUUUUACCUUUUAAAAAUACAAGUCAGUAGUGUUUAACAUAUUCACAAAGUUGUACAACCACCACCACUAUAUAAUUCUAGAACAUUUUUAUCAUCCCAAAAAGAAACUUCCUACCCAGUAGAAGGUAUUCCUGGUUUCCCUUCCUCCAAGGCCCCAGGAAUCACUACUUUGUCAACACAGAUUUCUCAGUCCCUACCUUUACUCUUGGAAUUA